UGUGUAGGCCCACGGUGAUAAGCAACCUGAAGAAUCGGAGCCACCAACUACAAGUCAGGACAUUAGACCUGGUGAAGAGGAAAAGGAUGAAGGAGCAUCUUCAUUUCAAGUGGGAAAUAUCUUUCGGAGAGUAAAGUCAACAUACAGACCUAGGAAAAGAAGUUAUGAUCAAGCAUGUGUCAAUCCAGUUGUGCCUGUGGUUGCCCACGGUGAUAAGCAACCUCAAGAAUGGGAGCCACCAACUUCAAGUCAGGACAUUAAACCUGGUGAAGCAAAAGAGGAUGAAGGAGCAUCUGCAGUUGAAGUGGGAAAUAUCUUUCGGAGAGUAAAGUCAACAUACAGACCUAGGAAAAGAAGUUAUGAUCAAGCAUUUGUCAAUCCAGUUCAGCCUGUGGUUG
Vicugna pacos (alpaca) is the source of this 398-nucleotide non-coding RNA. The record is from RefSeq and is a predicted model, not a curated record. NCBI's taxonomy places the organism in Eukaryota, Metazoa, Chordata, Mammalia, Artiodactyla, Camelidae.